RNAcentral lists this ribosomal RNA (441 nucleotides) under uncultured bacterium. RNAcentral describes it as "partial 16S ribosomal RNA". It matches the Rfam family "Bacterial small subunit ribosomal RNA", at positions 338 to 795 of the family's 1533-position model. The record is from RNAcentral.
CCUACGGGUGGCUGCAGUGGGGAAUAUUGGGCAAUGGGCGCAAGCCUGACCCAGCAACGCCGCGUGAAGGAAGAAGGCUUUCGGGUUGUAAACUUCUUUUAGGAGGGAAGAACAGUAGACGGUACGUCUUGCAUUACCCACGACUUACUACCGGCCAGCAGCCGGGGUAACACGGAGGUGGCAAGCGUUGUCCGGAUUUCUUGGGUUUAAAGGGAGCGUAGAUGGGUUGGUAAGUCAGUUGUGAAAGUUUGCGGCUCAACCGGAAAAUUGCAAUUGAUACUGGAAGUCUUGAGUAGAGGUGAGGGAGGGGGAAUUCGUGGUGUAGAGGUGAAAUGCUUAGAUAUCACGAAGAACUCAGAUUGCGAAGGCAGCUUACUAAACGGAAACUGACAUUGAUGCUCGAAAGUGUGGGUAUCAAACAGGAUUAGAUACCCAGUAGUC